UACGGGGGGGGCAAGCGUUGUUCGGAAUUACUGGGCGUAAAGGGCUCGUAGGCGGCCAACUAAGUCAUACGUGAAAUCCCUCGGCUUAACCGGGGAACUGCGUCUGAUACUGGAUGGCUUGAGAUUGGGAGAGGGAUGCGGAAUUCCAGGUGUAGCGGUGAAAUGCGUAGAUAUCUGGAGGAACACCGGUGGCGAAGGCGACAUCCUGGACCGGUAUUGACGCUGAGGCGCGAAAGCCAGGGGAGCAAACGGG
RNAcentral lists this ribosomal RNA (253 nucleotides) under uncultured bacterium. RNAcentral describes it as "partial 16S ribosomal RNA". It matches the Rfam family "Bacterial small subunit ribosomal RNA", at positions 524 to 776 of the family's 1533-position model. The record is from RNAcentral.